RNAcentral lists this long non-coding RNA (2198 nucleotides) under Takifugu rubripes (torafugu). RNAcentral's name for it is "lncRNA (ENSTRUG00000031448.1)". Lineage: Eukaryota; Metazoa; Chordata; Actinopteri; Tetraodontiformes; Tetraodontidae. The record is from RNAcentral.
AUGACUGUUAGAGUGUGUGUGGUCAUGGCAGUGGCUUUUUGUUGUUUCUGCUUCAGGCUGCAGAAGAUGGGCUGUUCCUGUAGUACUUCUUCUGACGAGUGGAGUGACAGCGACAGCGACAGCAGUCUGCCAGAACUCCCACCCUUCGUUAGACGGAGCACGAAGACGGUGGAGCUGAGGCAGCACACCUCCGCAGUAACCCAGCAUGCAUGCUUGGAUGAGGAGGUUAAAGGAGACGGCAGUGGCACAUGUGAGGAACCCCUGGAAUCACAUCCCCGUGUGGCGCUGCCCAGACUGAGCACAGACGGAGAGGAAAACACUCUCGAUGGGUCAAAGCCGUCCAAACCGGUCCAGUCAACUCUUGUUGGGCCACCGUCCGUUGCCUUCAUGGUGACUGAGGCAUCAGGUGACCAGCAGAGGCCGAUGGUAGAUCCAGAACCGCAACACGACGAUAAGGACGGCGAGGAGGUCCGUGUUGUACUGACGGAUCCACAUCAGGCGUUCAAAACAAAGACCCACAGCUGCAUCCGUCCCAUCGAUGCUGAUGAUCUCGAGCAAGAGCAGAACCAGUGUCCAACAGAUGAGUCUGGUCCAUCCACAGUUCUGAAAACCAGUUUAUUACCACCACCUAUUGAACCAGAAACCAGUUUAUUACCACCACCUCCUGAACCAGACACUGGUUUAUUACCACCACCUCCUGAAUCAGAAACUGGUUUAUUACCACCUCCUCCUGAACCAGCAACUGGUUUAUUACCACCUCCUCCUGAACCAGCAACUGGUUUAUUACCACCACCUCUUGAACCAGACACUGGUUUAUUACCACCACCUCCUGAACCAGACACUGGUUUAUUACCACCACUUCCUGAACCAGACACUGGUUUAUUACCACCACCUCCUGAAACAGAAACCAGUUUAUUACCACCACCUCCUGAACCAGACACUGGUUUAUUACCACCACCUCUUGAACCAGACACUGGUUUAUUACCACCACUUCCUGAACCAGAAACUGGUUUAUUACCACCACCUCCUGAACUGUCUCUAUUGAGCGAGGUCAAUGUGCGUCUGACCACGGGAUCCUCGCCACAUAUCGGUCAACAAACUCACCGUGGAUUCACCAAAUCCCAGAUUGACUGGCAGGACAAUGUGGAGCUCCAACGUCCGUGGCUUCCUGUGAAUUCCCGCGUAAGGAAAAUCCCAAGCCGAGAUGAGGGCGAUGGUCCCUCAGUCUCAAUUUGCUUUUAUAACACACCCGAAGACCUGGGCCCCCCGAGACCUGAGCGUCACCAUGUUGGCACUCAAACUUUGCCCCCUGGUGCUGGUGGAGAUGCUUCCACUCCAUCUUCCAAGAUUCACUCCGUCUGUCCUGAGCGGCGGGUGAUAGCUGAAGGGGGCGACAGCGGGGACAAGCCCAAGGCAACGGUGUGGACCCAGGGCACACCCAAGGCUGAGUUCCCCCAGAGGGGGGGCGGUGUGGACACCCCAGGGCCAGUGUUGGAGCUCCAGCCCUCCAAGGCUCAGAAUUGUGGGCCAAUGUUGAAUCGGGGUCUGGAGCAGAGAUCAAAGACCAAGGCCGACCACCAACCAGCUCAUCCGCCAGGACAGCAAGUAAGUUUUGGGUGUUGACUUGUUUUUGAUGCUUAAUUUGAUGCUCGAUUUAAUUGUGUCCAUUCAUGUUACUCAUUCAUAAAGUGAAUGUCCUGAUUGGUCACAGACACAUCAACAUUUAUCAGGUUUAAGACCCCCGACAGGACAAAUACCCCAGGUUAUAGCAGACCUGUUCAAAGAUGCUCAAGGUGGAAACUAAAUCCUUCUGCUCUGACUUUUCAGGUGGGCUCCAAACUGACCUACGCACAGGUCUUGAUGAUGCCCCCAUGUAAGCGUGCCCCACCCCCAGACCUUAGCCCCCCCUACCCAGAACAAGAGCCCCAACCAGCUGGGACUCGCCGUCCACUAAAGCUGAGAUAUGCAAGGCUGUGAACGGAGCGCUAUGGAUAUUUGGUUUUUAGUCUUUACAAAAGAAGCUGAACAAAAUCAACUCUUCAAUUGCUGCUUUAGGAGAUAUUUUUCUUUAGUUUGUUUAGGUCUUUUUUUUUUAAAAAAAAUCCAGGUUCUGUUCCCAUGUUUGAUUGUUCCAGUUUUUUUCUUUUAACACACCUGCAUAAUUGAUGCUCAUAAUUCUGAUUUCUUCUAUUAAAAAG